This is a long non-coding RNA of Aethalodelphis obliquidens (Pacific white-sided dolphin), 2358 nucleotides long. RefSeq lists it as uncharacterized. The record is from RefSeq and is a predicted model, not a curated record. The transcript is spliced from 2 exons. NCBI's taxonomy places the organism in Eukaryota, Metazoa, Chordata, Mammalia, Artiodactyla, Delphinidae.
UACUGCAAACUUCCUGGCUGAAAACCACCGAAGUGUAUUAUCUUACAAUCCUGGAGCUCAGACAGUCAGAGCAGCCUCCUUCUGGGGGCUCCAGGGGACGAGAACCCGUUUCCUUGCCUUUUCUGGCUUUUAGAGGCUGCCUGAUAUACUCACGUCACUCUGACCUUUCCUUCUGUCCUCACUUCUUCUCUGCCUCUGACACUCCCGCUUCUCUCUCAUGAGGACUCCGUGACUGUAUCAAGCCCCCCAGACAGUGCAGGACCAUCUCCCGCUCUCCAGAUCCUUGACCACAUCCGCAAAGCCCCUCUUGCCACGUAAGGUGACCCAGUCACAGGUUUAGGGGGUCAGGAUGGGGACAUCUUUGAGGGGCCCUUAUUCUGCUGGCCACGCCCCGCGUCCACUGGCAGGGGUACUGAUGGCCAGGCGACCACAGCAGAGCAUGGCUCCAGACCUUUCCUGCUGGUCCUCAGGGUCACUGACGUGCCUGUGUGGCAGGCGAGUGCCGUCAGUUUCUGAAGAAUGCUGGGUAGAGAGGACAACUCAGGAAACCUGUUUUCCCUGCCCCUGAGUCUCUCCUCCGCCCUGGCCGUGGUCUUCCUGGGAACAAACGGAGACAAGUCUGCCCAGAUGGCCCAGAGGUGUGUACCCAUCACACAGGAAGAACCAGGUAUGUUUUCUCCUGUGAUUCCAUAGGGCUGAUCUUUUCACACUUUCACACCAGCUCAUGAAAGCCAGUGGGGCCUGCAGGUGGCAGGAGGGGCACCGUGGUGAUGAAGAAAGGGCAGCCUUGGGUGGAAAACUGAGCUGUGGAGGACAGGGCAUUUCCCAGUGUCACGGGAGAAAUCAAGUCACAAGUUACUUUCUCUGGACCAGAACCUCAAUGUAUUAUAUAGCAAAAUUACAUCUCUGAUAAGGAAGGAGAAGAAUGUAAUUCAUUUAUAUGAUGGAAUAUGAUGCAGGAAAUUUAAAAAAAAUGUGAUUGGUCUAUAUGUCACUGAGACAAGCUUGCUCAGCUCGCCGCACAACAGCAAGAUGAGGUGCUGAAGCAAGGAAUAAGACCUUAUUCGGAAAGCUGGCAGACUGAGAAGACAGCAGAUGAGUGUCUCCGUCUUAUGCGGGCUGGAUGCCAGUUCCUUUUAUAGCACAGAGAGGGGGAGGAGAUGAGGAAGUAAAGUAAAAAGGCCAUACGUUUUGCAAAUAUCUCCUGGAAUGGCCAGCCUCGGGGAGGGGAUGUGUUAAUUUCUUCUUUCUUGCAGCCAUUCACAAGUGGACAGGGGCCGGAUGUUUCGCUGAACAAAGGCACUUCGGUUUAACAUUCAGGCAGAGGGGCAGGAUUCCCAGAGGCAGGGGAAGAGUAGCUCCCCGCUCGCCACAGGUGCCGUCCGCAGUUUCACUGUACUGGGCGUACGUACUUAAACAUGCAUGGCUUAAUCUUUGAGACAAGCCUAUGCUACAGGCAGGAUCGACCAAGUAGAGAGAAAAAGAUAAAUGUUUCAAUUCUGCUUAUGAAGGUAUAAUUUACCAAAUUCCUCUAAGUUAUAAUUAGUUUAAGGGGAAGGUUCUCCUUACACUUGGAAAACAGAUUGAAACCAGUCAUUUUUCAGAUAGAAACUAUAAAAAUUAUAACCAUAUUCACCAGUUUACUCAGUCCUAUGUAACUAAUCCUUUUUUAAAAACAGCUUUAAGAAGCCAUCAAUUUUCCCAUUAGAAUUCUUCAAUUUCUUACCCAGUUCAGCAUUAUUGUCUGAAAGCCAGAAACUUAUAUUUACCCAAAGGUCCCUUCUAUAAAACGUCUUGAAGAGGAAACAUUUUUGCAAAGGCGUCAGAGUGAAACCAUAACUGUCUAUAAUGACGAAAGACUUAAGAAGCACGUUUAAAUCUGGUUACAAUGCAACUGACAAAGUAACUUGGUUACUGCUGUGACAUGCAACACUUUUCAGACAAUAGCUAGAAUUAUGACUGAUAACAUUUUACCAGGACAUAUCAAAUUUUAGGAAGUCCAUAUAAUCCCUAGAAUACCUCUACCAUCUGCCAUACAAUAUAACCUAAGAAGAUUUAUGACUUAUUUGACAACACUUCCCAUGUAAUUCAACAUACCAAGUGAACCUAAUUAGUUCAUAUCUCUCUUUGGGGUGUUUCAGGGGUCCUUUGAACCACUUUGGUUUAAUAUUCAGGCAGAGGAGCAGGGUUCCCCGAGGCAGGCCAUUACGUAUAGACAGUAUCCUUUUGGUGAACAAAAGCAACGGGAAGCAAAGGUUAAAGUAAAAGAAACAGAUCCAACAUGGAGUCCGAGUCGGCUCUUCCCUGUAUGUGUGUGCAGUUCCCGAAAAAGAUCACGAAAACAAAUUAAGUGAAAAA